This is a long non-coding RNA of Lolium perenne, 2368 nucleotides long. RefSeq lists it as uncharacterized. NCBI's taxonomy places the organism in Eukaryota, Viridiplantae, Streptophyta, Magnoliopsida, Poales, Poaceae. The record is from RefSeq and is a predicted model, not a curated record.
AAUCUCGUUCCUCUGCUCGUCUCCUCCCCUCCCGCUCCCUUGCGUGUGCCGCGGCGGCCGGCGCCAUCCCGGCCCGCUGCCCCCCGCCUCGAGCUCCAGAUCCAACGAUAGUGGUGCUGGCCGCGACGGACGGUCGGACGCGGCAGCGCGGAGGUGGAGGUUCACCAGACGAACGGAUGCAGCGGCGCUGGCUCGCCGGACGGCCGUCCGCGACACCGGGCGGGUGGCUGAACGCGGCAUCGCGGAGGUGGAGGCUCACCAGACGAGCGGAUACAUCGGCGUUGGCUCGCCGGCCGGCCGCGACGCUGGCAGAGGCUCGUCGGACGGCCGGACACGGCGGCGAGCCAGUGGAGUUCUCCAAUCCGCGAGCGGCCGGUCGCGCUGACGCCCCCUCCCUGCCCCCCCACGCAUCGCGAAGGAGCCAGGCCUCCCGCCUCCCAUCGAUUUCCCGUCUGCCGCCGUCUCUGACGAUUUCGCUUGGUCUGCUCUCUCUCCCUGAGCAAGAGAAGAAGAUGUUGAGCUGCAGCCAUCCCCAUCCUGUUCCUCCCCGACCAAGACAAGGAGAGGACGUCGAGCAGGGUCACCGCCUCCCCAUGGUCUGCUUGCCCCCUUUUUUUUCUCUCCCCAUCGCCAAGAUUGAAUAGUGGUCGGACGGGCGGAACGGUGGUACUAUCCCGUCGGAUGCCGAGGCCGCCAUUCCCUCCACUGAGUUUGCUGCCUCGGAGCACCUCACGGCUCGGCUCGGCGCUGCCUCGAAGGUAGGAUCCGCUCGAGCUUGGCACGCGUCUGUAUCCUUCCACGGGUUUUACCUCUGAUUGUUUGAUUCAAGUGGCGAGGGGAGCGGUCUGGGGCGGUGGUUUUGUCAUGGCCGGCGCUGUAGUGAGAUCCCUAGGCCAGUGAAGAGACAGCAACGACCAGGUGGAUCCAAGGAGGAUAAGAGGUCUCAUGGGGAGGAUGGGUUCAGAAUGCGAAGAUUCCUCCAUCCUCUGCUAGCAUCGGUCCAAAGAACUAGGUGUAUUCUAAAGGAAGAAGAUGCAACUUAAUAGAAGAAUGGGCCCAUAUUUUGCAAGCACAUCGCCGCACUCUGCUGGUAAUCCGCCCUCAAGGGUCCUCUCAUGAUGUAAAGCACCCCCCCCCCAAUCAUGAAUCCAUGGGCAGCCGAAGGUUAUCUUUUCUUUUGCUCUGAUUUGUCUCAUUCCUUCUCUCUUUCACUCCCCAUAAUUUCUCUUCUUUUUGUGUGUAGAUGCUUUUGUAUGUAUGCCUAUAAUGUGUUUGAUGAAAAUACAAUCAAGUUACAGAGGAAGAUUAUUUUAUUUUUAUGCUAUGCUAUCUACUCAGUAAUUCUUUACUUCUAAAAUUUAUCUGCAGUCAACUUUCAUUUAGCUAGAUUAUCCCAGUUAUGUUCCUAGGUAUACGACAAAAAAGAUUUGAGAUAAGAUUCAGUACCAUGCUUUAGUGGCAUGCAAACUAUAUAGACAUAUAUUUCAGGAUGUUGUAUUUCUUUUUAACUAAACAAGAGCACAUGUGAUCUUACUGUUUACGGUCACAUAGAUCAUAGAUAAUUUUAUUUAUUUCAAUUUAUUUUCUUGUAUUUAUGGGUUUUGACCCAAAUCUGCCCAUGAACUUUGACUGAUGUUCAUGAUUUUUCAGUAUUAAUUUUGGUAUACAAAAUAUUCAGACUAUGGUUUACUAUGAAUUGGAUUUUAUUAGACAGGUCAACAGAGCCGGUGUUCAACACCCAGAUUCAUUUAUUUGUCCUUUCAAUUGCAACUUCAGUAUUUGUUUAACUGAGAAUAUACUAAGGUGAAGAGUGAACUGAAUCAUUUUGAAUUUGCUGUAGUUUUUUGCGACUUAGAUGUUUUUACAAUUUUACUUCACCAGAAGUCAUAUAUCAAGAAGUUACGGCUCAUCAGCAAAGUAAUGUAUCCAAAGAUUAUCAGUUUAUUGUGCUUUGAAUCAAUGCAGCUUCAUGCUAAUUGUAUCAUAUAGUCAAUUUACAUAUUAUUUGGUUGACCUACAGUUUUAGAUUGUCGUUAUUUAAUCCAUGUUAAGGUAAGGAAGUUUCUCCUGUGCUUCUUUCUUCUAACUGGUAUCUUCCGAACAUUGAGCUACAGUUUAAGGCGAUAAGUGCAGUUGGUUUUAAGCUCAUGGUUGAUACCUUUUGCAGGACAAUCAUGUGUCCUUCUCAGGUCGGAGUUACCUUUCAGAAUUAAAUAUUCUUGGAGAUACUAGAUACUUUUGCGAUUAAUGGCACAGGGAAAAGACAGAGAUUCUACUGUAAAUAAUAUGAGAUAAACCCAAAUGAAAAAAACAAUGCCAACAAUGACGUGUCAACAAAAAUGAUGAUGACCCGCAACAGAUAAGCCCU